GAUCAAUGGCCACACAACCCCCAUUUUUGUCGAAAAUAGCCAUGAAUGACCAUUUUCAAAAAUACCAAAGGCUAACACGUACGGAUUUUUGACCAAGAAAUGGUCUCCACCAGAAAUCCAAGAAUGUGAUCUAUGGCAAGGAAACAUAUGUGGGGUGAGGUGUACGAGCCUCUGGUCGAUGAUGAAUGGCCACACAACCCCCAUUUUGCCGAAAAUAGCCAUGAACGACCAUUUUCAAUAAUACCGAAGGCUAACACGUACGAGUUUUUGACCAAGAAAUGGUCUCCACCAGAAAUCCAAGAAUGUGAUCUAUGGCAAGGAAACAUAUGUGGGGUGAGGUUUAUGAGCCUCUAGUCGAUGAUAAAUGGCCACACAACCCCCAUUUUUUAUGAAAAUAGCCAUGAGCGACCUUGAAAAUAGCCAUGAGCGACCAUUUUCAAUAAUACUAGAGGCUAACACCUACGGAUUUUAGACCAAGAAAUGGUCUCCACCAGAAAUCCAAGAAUGUGAUCUAUGGCAAGGAAACAUAUGUGGGUGUCGAAAAUAGCCAUGAACGACCAUUUUCAAUAAUACCGAAGGCUAACACCUACGGAUUUUUGACCAAGAAAUGGUCUCCACCAGAAAUCCAAGAAUGUGAUCUAUGGCAAGGAAACAUAUGUGGGGUGAGGUGUAUGAGCCUCUGGUCGAUGAUCAAUGGCCACACAACCCCCAUUUUUGUCGAAAAUAGCCAUGAACGACCAUUUUCAAUAAUACCGAAGGCUAACACCUACGGAUUUUUGACCAAGAAAUGGUCUCCACCAGAAAUCCAAGAAUGUGAUCUAUGGCAAGGAAACAUAUGUGGGGUGAGGUGUAUGAGCCUCUGGUCGAUGAUCAAUGGCCACACAACCCCCAUUUUUGUCGAAAAUAGCCAUGAAUGACCAUUUCAAUAAUACCGAAGGCUAACACCUACGGAUUUUUGACCAAGAAAUGGUCUCCACCAGAAAUCCAAGAAUGUGAUCUAUGGCAAGGAAACAUAUGUGGGGUGAGGUGUACGAGCCUCUGGUCGAUGAUCAAUGGCCACACAACCCCCAUUUUGCCGAAAAUAGCCAUGAACGACCAUUUUCAAUAAUACCGAAGGCUAACACGUACGAUUUUUGACCAAGAAAUGGUCUCCACCAGAAAUCCAAGAAUGUGAUCUAUGGCAAGGAAACAUAUGUGGGGUGAGGUGUAUGAGCGUCUGGUCGAUGAUCAAUGGCCACACAACCCCCAUUUUUGUCGAAAAUAGCCAUGAAUGACCAUUUUCAAUAAUACCGAAGGCUAACACCUACGGAUUUUUGACCAAGAAAUGGUCUCCACCAGAAAUCCAAGAAUGUGAUCUAUGGCAAGGAAACAUAUGUGGGGUGAGGUGUAUGAGCCUCUGUCGAUGAUCAAUGGCCACACAACCCCAUUUUUGUCGAAAAUAGCCAUGAACGACCAUUUUCAAUAACGAAGGCUAACACCUACGGAUUUUUGACCAAGAAAUGGUCUCCACCAAAAUCCAAGAAUGUGAUCUAUGGCAAGGAAACAUAUGUGGGGUGAGGUGUAUGAGCCUCUGGUCGAUGAUCAAUGGCCACACAACCCCCAUUUUUGUCGAAAAUAGCCAUGAAUGACCAUUUCAAUAAUACCGAAGGCUAACACCUACGGAUUUUUGACCAAGAAAUGGUCUCCACCAGAAAUCCAAGAAUGUGAUCUAUGGCAAGGAAACAUAUGUGGGGUGAGGUGUAUGAGCCUCUGGUCGAUGAUCAAUGGCCACACAACCCCCAUUUUUGUCGAAAAUAGCCAUGAACGACCAUUUUCAAUAAUACGAAGGCUAACACCUACGGAUUUUUGACCAAGAAAUGGUCUCCACCAGAAAUCCAAGAAUGUGAUCUAGACAAGGAAACAUAUGUGGGGUGAGGUGUAUGAGCCUCUGGUCGAGAUCAAUGGCCACACAACCCCCAUUUUGCCGAAAAUAGCCAUGAAUGACCAUUUUCAAUAAUACCGAAGGCUAACACGUACGAGUUUUUAACCAAGAAAUGGUCUCCACCAGAAAUCCAAGAAUGUAAUCUAUGGCAAGGAAACAUAUGUGGGGUGAGGUUUAUGAGCCUCUAGUCGAUGAUAAAUGGCCACACAACCCCCAUUUUUUAUGAAAAUAGCCAUGAGCGACCUUGAAAAUAGCCAUGAGCGACCAUUUUCAAUAAUACUAAAGGCUAACACCUACGGAUUUUAGACCAAGAAAUGGUCUCCACCAGAAAUCCAAGAAUGUGAUCUAUGGCAAGGAAACAUAUGUGGGGUGAGGUGUAUGAGCCUCUGGUCGAUGAUCAAUGGCCACACAACCCCCAUUUUUGUCGAAAAUAGCCAUGAACGACCAUUUUCAAUAAUACCGAAGGCUAACACCUACGGAUUUUUGACCAAGAAAUGGUCUCCACCAGAAAUCCAAGAAUGUGAUCUAUGGCAAGGAAACAUAUGUGGGGUGAGGUGUAUGAGCCUCUGGUCGACGAUCAAUGGCCACACAACCCUAAUUUUUGUCGAAAAUAGCCAUGAACGACCAUUUUCAAUGACACUGAAGGCUAACACCUACGGAUUUUUGACCAAGAAAUGGUCUCCACCAUAAAUCCAAGAAUGUGAUCUAUGGCAAGGAAACAUAUGUGUAGUGAGGUGUAUGAGCCUCUGGUCGAAGAUCAAUGGCCACACAACCCCCAUUUUUGUCGAAAAUAGCCAUGAAUGACCAUUUUCAAAAAUACCAAAGGCUAACACGUACGGAUUUUUGACCAAGAAAUGGUCUCCACCAGAAAUCCAAGAAUGUGAUCUAUGGCAAGGAAACAUAUGUGGGGUGAGGUGUACGAGCCUCUGGUCGAUGAUCAAUGGCCACACAACCCCCAUUUUGCCGAAAAUAGCCAUGAACGACCAUUUUCAAUAAUACCGAAGGCUAACACGUACGAGUUUUUAACCAAGAAAUGGUCUCCACCAGAAAUCCAAGAAUGUGAUCUAUGGCAAGGAAACAUAUGUGGGGUGAGGUUUAUGAGCCUCUAGUCGAUGAUAAAUGGCCACACAACCCCCAUUUUUUAUGAAAAUAGCCAUGAGCGACCUUGAAAAUAGCCAUGAGCGACCAUUUUCAAUAAUACUAGAGGCUAACACCUACGGAUUUUAGACCAAGAAAUGGUCUCCACCAGAAAUCCAAGAAUGUGAUCUAUGGCAAGGAAACAUAUGUGGGGUGAGGUGUAUGAGCGUCUGGUCGAUGAUCAAUGGCCACACAACCCCCAUUUUUGUCGAAAAUAGCCAUGAACGACCAUUUUCAAUAAUACCGAAGGCUAACACCUACGGAUUUUUGACCAAGAAAUGGUCUCCACCAGAAAUCCAAGAAUGUGAUCUAUGGCAAGGAAACAUAUGUGGGGUGAGGUGUAUGAGCCUCUGGUCGACGAUCAAUGGCCACACAACCCCAUUUUUGUCGAAAAUAGCCAUGAACGACCAUUUUCAAUAACUGAAGGCUAACACCUACGGAUUUUUGACCAAGAAAUGGUCUCCACCAAAAUCCAAGAAUGUGAUCUAUGACAAGGAAACAUAUGUGUAGUGAGGUGUAUGAGCCUCUGGUCGAAGAUCAAUGGCCACACAACCCCCAUUUUUGUCGAAAAUAGCCAUGAAUGACCAUUUUCAAAAUACCAAAGGCUAACACUACGGAUUUUUGACCAAGAAAUGGUCUCCACCAGAAAUCCAAGAAUGUGAUCUAUGGCAAGGAAACAUAUGUGGGGUGAGGUGUACGAGCCUCUGGUCGAUGAUCAAUGGCCACACAACCCCCAUUUUGCCGAAAAUAGCCAUGAACGACCAUUUUCAAUAAUACCGAAGGCUAACACGUACGAGUUUUUAACCAAGAAAUGGUCUCCACCAGAAAUCCAAGAAUGUGAUCUAUGGCAAGGAAACAUAUGUGGGGUGAGGUUUAUGAGCCUCUAGUCGAUGAUAAAUGGCCACACAACCCCCAUUUUUUAUGAAAAUAGCCAUGAGCGACCUUGAAAAUAGCCAUGAGCGACCAUUUUCAAUAAUACUAGAGGCUAACACCUACGGAUUUUAGACCAAGAAAUGGUCUCCACCAGAAAUCCAAGAAUGUGAUCUAUGGCAAGGAAACAUAUGUGGGGUGAGGUGUAUGAGCGUCUGGUCGAUGAUCAAUGGCCACACAACCCCCAUUUUUGUCGAAAAUAGCCAUGAACGACCAUUUUCAAUAAUACCGAAGGCUAACACCUACGGAUUUUUGACCAAGAAAUGGUCUCCACCAGAAAUCCAAGAAUGUGAUCUAUGGCAAGGAAACAUAUGUGGGGUGAGGUGUAUGAGCCUCUGGUCGAUGAUCAAUGGCCACACAACCCCAUUUUUGUCGAAAAUAGCCAUGAACGACCAUUUUCAAUAAUACGAAGGCUAACACCUACGGAUUUUUGACCAAGAAAUGGUCUCCACCAAAAUCCAAGAAUGUGAUCUAUGCAAGGAAACAUAUGUGGGUGAGGUGUAUGAGCCUCUGGUCGAAGAUCAAUGGCCACACAACCCCCAUUUUUGUCGAAAAUAGCCAUGAAUGACCAUUUUCAAAAUACCAAGGCUAACACUACGGAUUUUUGACCAAGAAAUGGUCUCCACCAGAAAUCCAAGAAUGUGAUCUAUGGCAAGGAAACAUAUGUGGGGUGAGGUGUACGAGCCUCUGGUCGAUGAUCAAUGGCCACACAACCCCCAUUUUGCCGAAAAUAGCCAUGAAUGACCAUUUUCAAUAAUACCGAAGGCUAACACGUACGAGUUUUUGACCAAGAAAUGGUCUCCACCAAAAUCCAAGAAUGUGAUCUAUGGCAAGGAAACAUAUGUGGGGUGAGGUUUAUGAGCCUCUAGUCGAUGAUAAAUGGCCACACAACCCCCAUUUUUUAUGAAAAUAGCCAUGAGCGACCAUUUUCAAUAAUAUAGAGGCUAAACCUACGGAUUUUUGACCAAGAAAUGGUCUCCACCAGAAAUCCAAGAAUGUGAUCUAUGGCAAGGAAACAUAUGUGGGGUGAGGUGUAUGAGCCUCUGGUCGAUGAUCAAUGGCCACACAACCCCAUUUUUGUCGAAAAUAGCCAUGAACGACCAUUUUCAAUAAUACCGAAGGCUAACACCUACGGAUUUUUGACCAAGAAAUGGUCUCCACCAGAAAUCCAAGAAUGUGAUCUAUGGCAAGGAAACAUAUGUGGGGUGAGGUGUAUGAGCCUCUGGUCGAUGAUCAAUGGCCACACAACCCCCAUUUUUGUCGAAAAUAGCCAUGAACGACCAUUUUCAAUAAUAUCGAAGGCUAACACCUACGGAUUUUUGACCAAGAAAUGGUCUCCACCAGAAAUCCAAGAAUGUGAUCUACGACAAGGAAACAUAUGUGGGUGAGGUGUAUGAGCCUCUGGUCGACGAUCAAUGGCCACACAACCCCCAUUUUGCCGAAAAUAGCCAUGAAUGACCAUUUUCAAUAAUACCGAAGGCUAACACGUACGAGUUUUUAACCAAGAAAUGGUUUCCACCAGAAAUCCAAGAAUGUAAUCUAUGGCAAGGAAACAUAUGUGGGGUGAGGUGUACGAGCCUCUGGUCGAUGAUCAAUGGCCACACAACCCCCAUUUUGCCGAAAAUAGCCAUGAACGACCAUUUUCAAUAAUACCGAAGGCUAACACGUACGAGUUUUUGACCAAGAAAUGGUCUCCACCAGAAAUCCAAGAAUGUGAUCUAUGGCAAGGAAACAUAUGUGGGGUGAGGUUAUGAGCCUCUAGUCGAUGAUAAAUGGCCACACAACCCCCAUUUUUUAUGAAAAUAGCCAUGAGCGACCAUUUUCAAUAAUACUAGAGGCUAACACCUACGGAUUUUUUACCAAGAAAUGGUCUCCACCAGAAAUCCAAGAAUGUGAUCUAUGGCAAGGAAACAUAUGUGGGGUGAGGUGUAUGAGCCUCUGGUCGAUGAUCAAUGGCCACACAACCCCCAUUUUUGUCGAAAAUAGCCAUGAACGACCAUUUUCAAUAAUACCGAAGGCUAACACCUACGGAUUUUUGACCAAGAAAUGGUCUCCACCAGAAAUCCAAGAAUGUGAUCUAUGGCAAGGAAACAUAUGUGGGGUGAGGUGUAUGAGCCUCUGGUCGAUGAUCAAUGGCCACACAACCCCCAUUUUUGUCGAAAAUAGCCAUGAACGACCAUUUUCAAUAAUACGAAGGCUAACACCUACGGAUUUUUGACCAAGAAAUGGUCUCCACCAGAAAUCCAAGAAUGUGAUCUAUGGCAAGGAAACAUAUGUGGGGUGAGGUGUAUGAGCCUCUGGUCGACGAUCAAUGGCCACACAACCCUAUUUUUGUCGAAAAUAGCCAUGAACGACCAUUUUCAAUGACACUGAAGGCUAACACCUACGGAUUUUUGACCAAGAAAUGGUCUCCACCAUAAAUCCAAGAAUGUGAUCUAUGGCAAGGAAACAUAUGUGUAGUGAGGUGUAUGAGCCUCUGGUCGAAGAUCAAUGGCCACACAACCCCCAUUUUUGUCGAAAAUAGCCAUGAAUGACCAUUUUCAAAAAUACCAAAGGCUAACACAUUCGGAUUUUUGCCCAAGAAAUGGUCUCCACCAGAAAUCCAAGAAUGUGAUCUAUGGCAAGGAAACAUAUGUGGGGUGAGGUGUACGAGCCUCUGGUCGAUGAUCAAUGGCCACAAACCCCCAUUUUGCCGAAAAUAGCCAUGAAUGACCAUUUUCAAUAAUACCGAAGGCUAACACGUACGAGUUUUUGACCAAGAAAUGGUCUCCACCAAAAAUCCAAGAAUGUGAUCUAUGGCAAGGAAACAUAUGAGGGGUGAGGUUUAUGAGCCUCUAGUCGAUGAUAAAUGGCCACACAACCCCCAUUUUUUAUGAAAAUAGCCAUGAGCGACCAUUUUCAAUAAUAUUAGAGGCUAAGACCUACGGAUUUUUGACCAAGAAAUGGUCUCCACCAGAAAUCUAAGAAUGUGAUCUAUGGCAAGGAAACAUAUGUGGGGUGAGGUGUAUGAGCCUCUGGUCGAUGAUCAAUGGCCACACAACCCCAUUGUUGUCGAAAAUAGCCAUGAAUGACCAUUUCAAUAAUACCGAAGGCUAACACCUACGGAUUUUUGACCAAGAAAUGGUCUCCACCAGAAAUCCAAGAAUGUGAUCUAUGGCAAGGAAACAUAUGUGGGGUGAGGUGUAUGAGCCUCUGGUCGAUGAUCAAUGGCCACACAACCCCCAUUUUUGUCGAAAAUGCCAUGAACGACCAUUUUCAAUAAUAUCGAAGGCUAACACCUACGGAUUUUUGACCAAGAAAUGGUCUCCACCAGAAAUCCAAGAAUGUGAUCUACGACAAGGAAACAUAUGUGGGGUGAGGUGUAUGAGCCUCUGGUCGACGAUCAAUGGCCACACAACCCCCAUUUUGCCGAAAAUAGCCAUGAAUGACCAUUUUCAAUAAUACCGAAGGCUAACACGUACGAGUUUUUAACCAAGAAAUGGUUCCACCAGAAAUCCAAGAAUGUAAUCUAUGGCAAGGAAACAUAUGUGGGGUGAGGUGUACGAGCCUCUGGUCGAUGAUCAAUGGCCACACAACCCCCAUUUUGCCGAAAAUAGCCAUGAACGACCAUUUUCAAUAAUACCGAAGGCUAACACGUACGAUUUUUGACCAAGAAAUGGUCUCCACCAAAAUCCAAGAAUGUGAUCUAUGGCAAGGAAACAUAUGUGGGGUGAGUUUAUGAGCCUCUAGUCGAUGAUAAAUGGCCACACAACCCCCAUUUUUUAUGAAAAUAGCCAUGAGCGACCAUUUUCAAUAAUAUAGAGGCUAACACCUACGGAUUUUUGACCAAGAAAUGGUCUCCACCAGAAAUCCAAGAAUGUGAUCUAUGGCAAGGAAACAUAUGUGGGGUGAGGUGUAUGAGCCUCUGGUCGAUGAUCAAUGGCCACACAACCCCCAUUUUUGUCGAAAAUAGCCAUGAAUGACCAUUUCAAUAAUACCGAAGGCUAACACCUACGGAUUUUUGACCAAGAAAUGGUCUCCACCAGAAAUCCAAGAAUGUGAUCUAUGGCAAGGAAACAUAUGUGGGGUGAGGUGUAUGAGCCUCUGGUCGAUGAUCAAUGGCCACACAACCCCCAUUUUUGUCGAAAAUAGCCAUGAACGACCAUUUUCAAUAAUACGAAGGCUAACACCUACGGAUUUUUGACCAAGAAAUGGUCUCCACCAGAAAUCCAAGAAUGUGAUCUACGACAAGGAAACAUAUGUGGGGUGAGGUGUAUGAGCCUCUGGUCGACGAUCAAUGGCCACACAACCCCCAUUUUGCCGAAAAUAGCCAUGAAUGACCAUUUUCAAUAAUACCGAAGGCUAACACGUACGAUUUUUAACCAAGAAAUGGUUCCACCAGAAAUCCAAGAAUGUAAUCUAUGGCAAGGAAACAUAUGUGGGGUGAGGUUUAUGAGCCUCUAGUCGAUGAUAAAUGGCCACACAACCCCCAUUUUUAUGAAAAUAGCCAUGACGAAAAUAGCCAUGAACGACCAUUUUCAAUAAUACUAGAGGCUAACACCUACGGAAUUUUGACCAAGAAAUGGUCUCCACCAGAAAUCCAAGAAUGUGAUCUAUGGCAAGGAAACAUAUGUGGGGUGAGGUGUAUGAGCCUCUGGUCGAUGAUCAAUGGCCACACAACCCCCAUUUUGUCGAAAAUAGCCAUGAAUGACCAUUUUCAAUAAUACCGAAGGCUAACACUACGAUUUUUGACCAAGAAAUGGUCUCCACCAGAAAUCCAAGAAUGUGAUCUAUGGCAAGGAAACAUAUGUGGGGUGAGGUGUAUGAGCCUCUGGUCGAUGAUCAAUGGCCACACAACCCCCAUUUUUGUCGAAAAUAGCCAUGAACGACCAUUUUCAAUAAUACUGAAGGCUAACACCUACGGAUUUUUGACCAAGAAAUGGUCUCCACCAGAAAUCCAAGAAUGUGAUCUAUGGCAAGGAAACAUAUGUGGGGUGAGGUGUAUGAGCCUCUGGUCGAUGAUCAAUGGCCACACAACCCCCAUUUUUGUCGAAAAUAGCCAUGAACGACCAUUUUCAAUAAUACGAAGGCUAACACCUACGGAUUUUUGACCAAGAAAUGGUCUCCACCAGAAAUCCAAGAAUGUGAUCUAUGGCAAGGAAACAUAUGUGGGGUGAGGUGUAUGAGCCUCUGGUCGAUGAUCAAUGGCCACACAACCCCAUUUUUGUCGAAAAUAGCCAUGAACGACCAUUUUCAAUAAUACGAAGGCUAACACCUACGGAUUUUUGACCAAGAAAUGGUCUCCACCAGAAAUCCAAGAAUGUGAUCUAUGGCAAGGAAACAUAUGUGGGGUGAGGUGUAUGAGCCUCUGGUCGAUGAUCAAUGGCCACACAACCCCCAUUUUUGUCGAAAAUAGCCAUGAAUGACCAUUUUCAAUAAUACCAAGGCUAACACUACGGAUUUUUGACCAAGAAAUGGUCUCCACCAGAAAUCCAAGAAUGUGAUCUAUGGCAAGGAAACAUAUGUGGGGUGAGGUGUAUGAGCCUCUGGUCGAUGAUCAAUGGCCACACAACCCCCAUUUUGCCGAAAAUAGCCAUGAACGACCAUUUUCAAUAAUACCGAAGGCUAACACGUACGAUUUUUGACCAAGAAAUGGUCUCCACCAGAAAUCCAAGAAUGUGAUCUAUGGCAAGGAAACAUAUGUGGGGUGAGGUGUAUGAGCCUCUGGUCGAUGAUCAAUGGCCACACAACCCCCAUUUUUGUCGAAAAUAGCCAUGAACGACCAUUUUCAAUAAUACGAAGGCUAACACCUACGGAUUUUUGACCAAGAAAUGGUCUCCACCAGAAAUCCAAGAAUGUGAUCUAUGGCAAGGAAACAUAUGUGGGGUGAGGUGUAUGAGCCUCUGGUCGAUGAUCAAUGGCCACACAACCCCCAUUUUUGUCGAAAAUAGCCAUGAACGACCAUUUUCAAUAAUACCGAAGGCUAACACCUACGGAUUUUUGACCAAGAAAUGGUCUCCACCAGAAAUCCAAGAAUGUGAUCUAUGGCAAGGAAACAUAUGUGGGGUGAGGUGUAUGAGCCUCUGGUCGAUGAUCAAUGGCCACACAACCCCAUUUUUGUCGAAAAUAGCCAUGAACGACCAUUUUCAAUAAUACGAAGGCUAACACCUACGGAUUUUUGACCAAGAAAUGGUCUCCACCAGAAAUCCAAGAAUGUGAUCUAUGGCAAGGAAACAUAUGUGGGGUGAGGUGUAUGAGCCUCUGGUCGAUGAUCAAUGGCCACACAACCCCCAUUUUUGUCGAAAAUAGCCAUGAAUGACCAUUUUCAAUAAUACCGAAGGCUAACACUACGGAUUUUUGACCAAGAAAUGGUCUCCACCAGAAAUCCAAGAAUGUGAUCUAUGGCAAGGAAACAUAUGUGGGGUGAGGUGUAUGAGCCUCUGGUCGAUGAUCAAUGGCCACACAACCCCCAUUUUGUCCGAAAAUAGCCAUGAACGACCAUUUUCAAUAAUACCGAAGGCUAACACUACGAUUUUUGACCAAGAAAUGGUCUCCACCAGAAAUCCAAGAAUGUGAUCUAUGGCAAGGAAACAUAUGUGGGGUGAGGUGUAUGAGCCUCUGGUCGAUGAUCAAUGGCCACACAACCCCCAUUUUUGUCGAAAAUAGCCAUGAACGACCAUUUUCAAUAAUACGAAGGCUAACACCUACGGAUUUUUGACCAAGAAAUGGUCUCCACCAGAAAUCCAAGAAUGUGAUCUAUGGCAAGGAAACAUAUGUGGGGUGAGGUGUAUGAGCCUCUGGUCGAUGAUCAAUGGCCACACAACCCCCAUUUUUGUCGAAAAUAGCCAUGAACGACCAUUUUCAAUAAUACCGAAGGCUAACACCUACGGAUUUUUGACCAAGAAAUGGUCUCCACCAGAAAUCCAAGAAUGUGAUCUAUGGCAAGGAAACAUAUGUGGGGUGAGGUGUAUGAGCCUCUGGUCGAUGAUCAAUGGCCACACAACCCCCAUUUUUGUCGAAAAUAGCCAUGAACGACCAUUUUCAAUAAUACGAAGGCUAACACCUACGGAUUUUUGACCAAGAAAUGGUCUCCACCAGAAAUCCAAGAAUGUGAUCUAUGGCAAGGAAACAUAUGUGGGGUGAGGUGUAUGAGCCUCUGGUCGAUGAUCAAUGGCCACACAACCCCCAUUUUGUCGAAAAUAGCCAUGAAUGACCAUUUUCAAUAAUACCGAAGGCUAACACGUACGAUUUUUGACCAAGAAAUGGUCUCCACCAGAAAUCCAAGAAUGUGAUCUAUGGCAAGGAAACAUAUGUGGGGUGAGGUGUAUGAGCCUCUGGUCGAUGAUCAAUGGCCACACAACCCCCAUUUUUGUCGAAAAUAGCCAUGAACGACCAUUUUCAAUAAUACGAAGGCUAACACCUACGGAUUUUUGACCAAGAAAUGGUCUCCACCAGAAAUCCAAGAAUGUGAUCUAUGGCAAGGAAACAUAUGUGGGGUGAGGUGUAUGAGCCUCUGGUCGAUGAUCAAUGGCCACACAACCCCCAUUUUUGUCGAAAAUAGCCAUGAACGACCAUUUUCAAUAAUACGAAGGCUAACACCUACGGAUUUUUGACCAAGAAAUGGUCUCCACCAGAAAUCCAAGAAUGUGAUCUAUGGCAAGGAAACAUAUGUGGGGUGAGGUGUAUGAGCCUCUGGUCGAUGAUCAAUGGCCACACAACCCCCAUUUUUGUCGAAAAUAGCCAUGAACGACCAUUUUCAAUAAUACGAAGGCUAACACCUACGGAUUUUUGACCAAGAAAUGGUCUCCACCAGAAAUCCAAGAAUGUGAUCUAUGGCAAGGAAACAUAUGUGGGGUGAGGUGUAUGAGCCUCUGGUCGAUGAUCAAUGGCCACACAACCCCCAUUUUUGUCGAAAAUAGCCAUGAACGACCAUUUUCAAUAAUACCGAAGGCUAACACUACGGAUUUUUGACCAAGAAAUGGUCUCCACCAGAAAUCCAAGAAUGUGAUCUAUGGCAAGGAAACAUAUGUGGGGUGAGGUGUAUGAGCCUCUGGUCGAUGAUCAAUGGCCACACAACCCCAUUUUUGUCGAAAAUAGCCAUGAACGACCAUUUUCAAUAAUACGAAGGCUAACACCUACGGAUUUUUGACCAAGAAAUGGUCUCCACCAGAAAUCCAAGAAUGUGAUCUAUGGCAAGGAAACAUAUGUGGGGUGAGGUGUAUGAGCCUCUGGUCGAUGAUCAAUGGCCACACAACCCCCAUUUUUGUCGAAAAUAGCCAUGAACGACCAUUUUCAAUAAUACCGAAGGCUAACACCUACGGAUUUUUGACCAAGAAAUGGUCUCCACCAGAAAUCCAAGAAUGUGAUCUAUGGCAAGGAAACAUAUGUGGGGUGAGGUGUAUGAGCCUCUGGUCGAUGAUCAAUGGCCACACAACCCCCAUUUUUGUCGAAAAUAGCCAUGAACGACCAUUUUCAAUAAUACGAAGGCUAACACCUACGGAUUUUUGACCAAGAAAUGGUCUCCACCAGAAAUCCAAGAAUGUGAUCUAUGGCAAGGAAACAUAUGUGGGGUGAGGUGUAUGAGCCUCUGGUCGAUGAUCAAUGGCCACACAACCCCCAUUUUUGUCGAAAAUAGCCAUGAACGACCAUUUUCAAUAAUACCGAAGGCUAACACCUACGGAUUUUUGACCAAGAAAUGGUCUCCACCAGAAAUCCAAGAAUGUGAUCUAUGGCAAGGAAACAUAUGUGGGGUGAGGUGUAUGAGCCUCUGGUCGAUGAUCAAUGGCCACACAACCCCCAUUUUUGUCGAAAAUAGCCAUGAACGACCAUUUUCAAUAAUACGAAGGCUAACACCUACGGAUUUUUGACCAAGAAAUGGUCUCCACCAGAAAUCCAAGAAUGUGAUCUAUGGCAAGGAAACAUAUGUGGGGUGAGGUGUAUGAGCCUCUGGUCGAUGAUCAAUGGCCACACAACCCCAUUUUUGUCGAAAAUAGCCAUGAACGACCAUUUUCAAUAAUACGAAGGCUAACACCUACGGAUUUUUGACCAAGAAAUGGUCUCCACCAGAAAUCCAAGAAUGUGAUCUAUGGCAAGGAAACAUAUGUGGGGUGAGGUGUAUGAGCCUCUGGUCGAUGAUCAAUGGCCACACAACCCCCAUUUUUGUCGAAAAUAGCCAUGAACGACCAUUUUCAAUAAUACCGAAGGCUAACACUACGGAUUUUUGACCAAGAAAUGGUCUCCACCAGAAAUCCAAGAAUGUGAUCUAUGGCAAGGAAACAUAUGUGGGGUGAGGUGUAUGAGCCUCUGGUCGAUGAUCAAUGGCCACACAACCCCCAUUUUUGUCGAAAAUAGCCAUGAACGACCAUUUUCAAUAAUACGAAGGCUAACACCUACGGAUUUUUGACCAAGAAAUGGUCUCCACCAGAAAUCCAAGAAUGUGAUCUAUGGCAAGGAAACAUAUGUGGGGUGAGGUGUAUGAGCCUCUGGUCGAUGAUCAAUGGCCACACAACCCCCAUUUUUGUCGAAAAUAGCCAUGAACGACCAUUUUCAAUAAUACCGAAGGCUAACACCUACGGAUUUUUGACCAAGAAAUGGUCUCCACCAGAAAUCCAAGAAUGUGAUCUAUGGCAAGGAAACAUAUGUGGGGUGAGGUGUAUGAGCCUCUGGUCGAUGAUCAAUGGCCACACAACCCCCAUUUUUGUCGAAAAUAGCCAUGAACGACCAUUUUCAAUAAUACGAAGGCUAACACCUACGGAUUUUUGACCAAGAAAUGGUCUCCACCAGAAAUCCAAGAAUGUGAUCUAUGGCAAGGAAACAUAUGUGGGGUGAGGUGUAUGAGCCUCUGGUCGAUGAUCAAUGGCCACACAACCCCCAUUUUUGUCGAAAAUAGCCAUGAACGACCAUUUUCAAUAAUACGAAGGCUAACACUACGGAUUUUUGACCAAGAAAUGGUCUCCACCAGAAAUCCAAGAAUGUGAUCUAUGGCAAGGAAACAUAUGUGGGGUGAGGUGUAUGAGCCUCUGGUCGAUGAUCAAUGGCCACACAACCCCCAUUUUUGUCGAAAAUAGCCAUGAACGACCAUUUUCAAUAAUACCGAAGGCUAACACCUACGGAUUUUUGACCAAGAAAUGGUCUCCACCAGAAAUCCAAGAAUGUGAUCUAUGGCAAGGAAACAUAUGUGGGGUGAGGUGUAUGAGCCUCUGGUCGAUGAUCAAUGGCCACACAACCCCCAUUUUUGUCGAAAAUAGCCAUGAACGACCAUUUUCAAUAAUACGAAGGCUAACACCUACGGAUUUUUGACCAAGAAAUGGUCUCCACCAGAAAUCCAAGAAUGUGAUCUAUGGCAAGGAAACAUAUGUGGGGUGAGGUGUAUGAGCCUCUGGUCGAUGAUCAAUGGCCACACAACCCCCAUUUUUGUCGAAAAUAGCCAUGAACGACCAUUUUCAAUAAUACCGAAGGCUAACACCUACGGAUUUUUGACCAAGAAAUGGUCUCCACCAGAAAUCCAAGAAUGUGAUCUAUGGCAAGGAAACAUAUGUGGGGUGAGGUGUAUGAGCCUCUGGUCGAUGAUCAAUGGCCACACAACCCCCAUUUUUGUCGAAAAUAGCCAUGAACGACCAUUUUCAAUAAUAUCGAAGGCUAACACCUACGGAUUUUUGACCAAGAAAUGGUCUCCACCAGAAAUCCAAGAAUGUGAUCUAUGGCAAGGAAACAUAUGUGGGGUGAGGUGUAUGAGCCUCUGGUCGAUGAUCAAUGGCCACACAACCCCCAUUUUGCCGAAAAUAGCCAUGAAUGACCAUUUUCAAUAAUACCGAAGGCUAACACCUACGAAUUUUUGACCAAGAAAUGGUCUCCACCAGAAAUCCAAGAAUGUGAUCUAUGGCAAGGAAACAUAUGUGGGGUGAGGUGUAUGAGCCUCUGGUCGAUGAUCAAUGGCCACACAACCCCCAUUUUUGUCGAAAAUAGCCAUGAACGACCAUUUUCAAUAAUACCGAAGGCUAACACCUACGGAUUUUUGACCAAGAAAUGGUCUCCACCAGAAAUCCAAGAAUGUGAUCUAUGGCAAGGAAACAUAUGUGGGGUGAGGUGUAUGAGCCUCUGGUCGAUGAUCAAUGGCCACACAACCCCAUUUUUGUCGAAAAUAGCCAUGAACGACCAUUUUCAAUAAUACGAAGGCUAACACCUACGGAUUUUUGACCAAGAAAUGGUCUCCACCAGAAAUCCAAGAAUGUGAUCUAUGGCAAGGAAACAUAUGUGGGGUGAGGUGUAUGAGCCUCUGGUCGAUGAUCAAUGGCCACACAACCCCCAUUUUUGUCGAAAAUAGCCAUGAACGACCAUUUUCAAUAAUACCGAAGGCUAACACCUACGGAUUUUUGACCAAGAAAUGGUCUCCACCAGAAAUCCAAGAAUGUGAUCUAUGGCAAGGAAACAUAUGUGGGGUGAGGUGUAUGAGCCUCUGGUCGAUGAUCAAUGGCCACACAACCCCAUUUUUGCGAAAAUAGCCAUGAAUGACCAUUUUCAAUAAUACCGAAGGCUAACACUACGGAUUUUUACCAAGAAAUGGUCUCCACCAGAAAUCCAAGAAUGUGAUCUAUGGCAAGGAAACAUAUGUGGGGUGAGGUGUAUGAGCCUCUGGUCGAUGAUCAAUGGCCACACAACCCCCAUUUUUGAAAUAGCCUGAAAAUAGCCAUGACGACCAUUUUCAAUAAUACGAAGGCUAACACCUACGGAUUUUUGACCAAGAAAUGGUCUCCACCAGAAAUCCAAGAAUGUGAUCUAUGGCAAGGAAACAUAUGUGGGGUGAGGUGUAUGAGCCUCUGGUCGAUGAUCAAUGGCCACACAACCCCCAUUUUUGUCGAAAAUAGCCAUGAACGACCAUUUUCAAUAAUACGAAGGCUAACACCUACGGAUUUUGACCAAGAAAUGGUCUCCACCAGAAAUCCAAGAAUGUGAUCUAUGGCAAGGAAACAUAUGUGGGGUGAGGUGUAUGAGCCUCUGGUCGAUGAUCAAUGGCCACACAACCCCCAUUUUUGUCGAAAAUAGCCAUGAACGACCAUUUUCAAUAAUACGAAGGCUAACACCUACGGAUUUUUGACCAAGAAAUGGUCUCCACCAGAAAUCCAAGAAUGUGAUCUAUGGCAAGGAAACAUAUGUGGGGUGAGGUGUAUGAGCCUCUGGUCGAUGAUCAAUGGCCACACAACCCCCAUUUUGUCGAAAAUAGCCAUGAACGACCAUUUUCAAUAAUACCGAAGGCUAACACCUACGGAUUUUUGACCAAGAAAUGGUCUCCACCAGAAAUCCAAGAAUGUGAUCUAUGGCAAGGAAACAUAUGUGGGGUGAGGUGUAUGAGCCUCUGGUCGAUGAUCAAUGGCCACACAACCCCCAUUUUUGUCGAAAAUAGCCAUGAACGACCAUUUUCAAUAAUACGAAGGCUAACACCUACGGAUUUUUGACCAAGAAAUGGUCUCCACCAGAAAUCCAAGAAUGUGAUCUAUGGCAAGGAAACAUAUGUGGGGUGAGGUGUAUGAGCCUCUGGUCGAUGAUCAAUGGCCACACAACCCCCAUUUUUGUCGAAAAUAGCCAUGAACGACCAUUUUCAAUAAUACCGAAGGCUAACACCUACGGAUUUUUGACCAAGAAAUGGUCUCCACCAGAAAUCCAAGAAUGUGAUCUAUGGCAAGGAAACAUAUGUGGGGUGAGGUGUAUGAGCCUCUGGUCGAUGAUCAAUGGCCACACAACCCCCAUUUUUGUCGAAAAUAGCCAUGAACGACCAUUUUCAAUAAUACGAAGGCUAACACCUACGGAUUUUUGACCAAGAAAUGGUCUCCACCAGAAAUCCAAGAAUGUGAUCUAUGGCAAGGAAACAUAUGUGGGGUGAGGUGUAUGAGCCUCUGGUCGAUGAUCAAUGGCCACACAACCCCCAUUUUUGUCGAAAAUAGCCAUGAACGACCAUUUUCAAUAAUACGAAGGCUAACACCUACGGAUUUUUGACCAAGAAAUGGUCUCCACCAGAAAUCCAAGAAUGUGAUCUAUGGCAAGGAAACAUAUGUGGGGUGAGGUGUAUGAGCCUCUGGUCGAUGAUCAAUGGCCACACAACCCCCAUUUUUGUCGAAAAUAGCCAUGAACGACCAUUUUCAAUAAUACGAAGGCUAACACCUACGGAUUUUUGACCAAGAAAUGGUCUCCACCAGAAAUCCAAGAAUGUGAUCUAUGGCAAGGAAACAUAUGUGGGGUGAGGUGUAUGAGCCUCUGGUCGAUGAUCAAUGGCCACACAACCCCCAUUUUUGUCGAAAAUAGCCAUGAAUGACCAUUUUCAAUAAUACGAAGGCUAACACCUACGGAUUUUUGACCAAGAAAUGGUCUCCACCAGAAAUCCAAGAAUGUGAUCUAUGGCAAGGAAACAUAUGUGGGGUGAGGUGUAUGAGCCUCUGGUCGAUGAUCAAUGGCCACACAACCCCCAUUUUGUCGAAAAUAGCCAUGAACGACCAUUUUCAAUAAUACCGAAGGCUAACACUACGGAUUUUUAACCAAGAAAUGGUCUCCACCAGAAAUCCAAGAAUGUGAUCUAUGGCAAGGAAACAUAUGUGGGGUGAGGUGUAUGAGCCUCUGGUCGAUGAUCAAUGGCCACACAACCCCCAUUUUUGUCGAAAAUAGCCAUGAACGACCAUUUUCAAUAAUACGAAGGCUAACACCUACGGAUUUUUGACCAAGAAAUGGUCUCCACCAGAAAUCCAAGAAUGUGAUCUAUGGCAAGGAAACAUAUGUGGGGUGAGGUGUAUGAGCCUCUGGUCGAUGAUCAAUGGCCACACAACCCCCAUUUUUGUCGAAAAUAGCCAUGAACGACCAUUUUCAAUAAUACCGAAGGCUAACACCUACGGAUUUUUGACCAAGAAAUGGUCUCCACCAGAAAUCCAAGAAUGUGAUCUAUGGCAAGGAAACAUAUGUGGGGUGAGGUGUAUGAGCCUCUGGUCGAUGAUCAAUGGCCACACAACCCCAUUUUUGUCGAAAAUAGCCAUGAACGACCAUUUUCAAUAAUACCGAAGGCUAACACCUACGGAUUUUUGACCAAGAAAUGGUCUCCACCAGAAAUCCAAGAAUGUGAUCUAUGGCAAGGAAACAUAUGUGGGGUGAGGUGUAUGAGCCUCUGGUCGAUGAUCAAUGGCCACACAACCCCCAUUUUUGUCGAAAAUAGCCAUGAAUGACCAUUUUCAAUAAUACGAAGGCUAACACCUACGGAUUUUUGACCAAGAAAUGGUCUCCACCAGAAAUCCAAGAAUGUGAUCUAUGGCAAGGAAACAUAUGUGGGGUGAGGUGUAUGAGCCUCUGGUCGAUGAUCAAUGGCCACACAACCCCCAUUUUUGUCGAAAAUAGCCAUGAACGACCAUUUUCAAUAAUACCGAAGGCUAACACCUACGGAUUUUUGACCAAGAAAUGGUCUCCACCAGAAAUCCAAGAAUGUGAUCUAUGGCAAGGAAACAUAUGUGGGGUGAGGUGUAUGAGCCUCUGGUCGAUGAUCAAUGGCCACACAACCCCCAUUUUUGUCGAAAAUAGCCAUGAACGACCAUUUUCAAUAAUACGAAGGCUAACACCUACGGAUUUUUGACCAAGAAAUGGUCUCCACCAGAAAUCCAAGAAUGUGAUCUAUGGCAAGGAAACAUAUGUGGGGUGAGGUGUAUGAGCCUCUGGUCGAUGAUCAAUGGCCACACAACCCCCAUUUUUGUCGAAAAUAGCCAUGAACGACCAUUUUCAAUAAUACGAAGGCUAACACCUACGGAUUUUUGACCAAGAAAUGGUCUCCACCAGAAAUCCAAGAAUGUGAUCUAUGGCAAGGAAACAUAUGUGGGGUGAGGUGUAUGAGCCUCUGGUCGAUGAUCAAUGGCCACACAACCCCCAUUUUUGUCGAAAAUAGCCAUGAAGACCAUUUUCAAUAAUACCGAAGGCUAACACCUACGGAUUUUUGACCAAGAAAUGGUCUCCACCAGAAAUCCAAGAAUGUGAUCUAUGGCAAGGAAACAUAUGUGGGGUGAGGUGUAUGAGCCUCUGGUCGAUGAUCAAUGGCCACACAACCCCCAUUUUGUCGAAAAUAGCCAUGAACGACCAUUUUCAAUAAUACGAAGGCUAACACCUACGGAUUUUUGACCAAGAAAUGGUCUCCACCAGAAAUCCAAGAAUGUGAUCUAUGGCAAGGAAACAUAUGUGGGGUGAGGUGUAUGAGCCUCUGGUCGAUGAUCAAUGGCCACACAACCCCCAUUUUUGUCGAAAAUAGCCAUGAACGACCAUUUUCAAUAAUACGAAGGCUAACACCUACGGAUUUUUGACCAAGAAAUGGUCUCCACCAGAAAUCCAAGAAUGUGAUCUAUGGCAAGGAAACAUAUGUGGGGUGAGGUGUAUGAGCCUCUGGUCGAUGAUCAAUGGCCACACAACCCCCAUUUUUGUCGAAAAUAGCCAUGAAUGACCAUUUUCAAUAAUACCGAAGGCUAACACCUACGGAUUUUUGACCAAGAAAUGGUCUCCACCAGAAAUCCAAGAAUGUGAUCUAUGGCAAGGAAACAUAUGUGGGGUGAGGUGUAUGAGCCUCUGGUCGAUGAUCAAUGGCCACACAACCCCCAUUUUUGUCGAAAAUAGCCAUGAAUGACCAUUUUCAAUAAUACCGAAGGCUAACACUACGGAUUUUUGACCAAGAAAUGGUCUCCACCAGAAAUCCAAGAAUGUGAUCUAUGGCAAGGAAACAUAUGUGGGGUGAGGUGUAUGAGCCUCUGGUCGAUGAUCAAUGGCCACACAACCCCCAUUUUUGUCGAAAAUAGCCAUGAACGACCAUUUUCAAUAAUACGAAGGCUAACACCUACGGAUUUUUGACCAAGAAAUGGUCUCCACCAGAAAUCCAAGAAUGUGAUCUAUGGCAAGGAAACAUAUGUGGGGUGAGGUGUAUGAGCCUCUGGUCGAUGAUCAAUGGCCACACAACCCCCAUUUUUGUCGAAAAUAGCCAUGAACGACCAUUUUCAAUAAUACGAAGGCUAACACCUACGGAUUUUUGACCAAGAAAUGGUCUCCACCAGAAAUCCAAGAAUGUGAUCUAUGGCAAGGAAACAUAUGUGGGGUGAGGUGUAUGAGCCUCUGGUCGAUGAUCAAUGGCCACACAACCCCCAUUUUUGUCGAAAAUAGCCAUGAAUGACCAUUUUCAAUAAUACGAAGGCUAACACCUACGGAUUUUUGACCAAGAAAUGGUCUCCACCAGAAAUCCAAGAAUGUGAUCUAUGGCAAGGAAACAUAUGUGGGGUGAGGUGUAUGAGCCUCUGGUCGAUGAUCAAUGGCCACACAACCCCCAUUUUGUCGAAAAUAGCCAUGAAUGACCAUUUUCAAUAAUACGAAGGCUAACACCUACGGAUUUUUGACCAAGAAAUGGUCUCCACCAGAAAUCCAAGAAUGUGAUCUAUGGCAAGGAAACAUAUGUGGGGUGAGGUGUAUGAGCCUCUGGUCGAUGAUCAAUGGCCACACAACCCCCAUUUUUGUCGAAAAUAGCCAUGAACGACCAUUUUCAAUAAUACGAAGGCUAACACCUACGGAUUUUUGACCAAGAAAUGGUCUCCACCAGAAAUCCAAGAAUGUGAUCUAUGGCAAGGAAACAUAUGUGGGGUGAGGUGUAUGAGCCUCUGGUCGAUGAUCAAUGGCCACACAACCCCAUUUUUGUCGAAAAUAGCCAUGAACGACCAUUUUCAAUAAUACGAAGGCUAACACCUACGGAUUUUUGACCAAGAAAUGGUCUCCACCAGAAAUCCAAGAAUGUGAUCUAUGGCAAGGAAACAUAUGUGGGGUGAGGUGUAUGAGCCUCUGGUCGAUGAUCAAUGGCCACACAACCCCCAUUUUGUCGAAAAUAGCCAUGAAUGACCAUUUUCAAUAAUACCGAAGGCUAACACCUACGGAUUUUUGACCAAGAAAUGGUCUCCACCAGAAAUCCAAGAAUGUGAUCUAUGGCAAGGAAACAUAUGUGGGGUGAGGUGUAUGAGCCUCUGGUCGAUGAUCAAUGGCCACACAACCCCAUUUUGUCGAAAAUAGCCAUGAACGACCAUUUUCAAUAAUACGAAGGCUAACACUACGAUUUUUGACCAAGAAAUGGUCUCCACCAGAAAUCCAAGAAUGUGAUCUAUGGCAAGGAAACAUAUGUGGGGUGAGGUGUAUGAGCCUCUGGUCGAUGAUCAAUGGCCACACAACCCCAUUUUUGUCGAAAAUAGCCAUGAACGACCAUUUUCAAUAAUACGAAGGCUAACACCUACGGAUUUUUGACCAAGAAAUGGUCUCCACCAGAAAUCCAAGAAUGUGAUCUAUGGCAAGGAAACAUAUGUGGGGUGAGGUGUAUGAGCCUCUGGUCGAUGAUCAAUGGCCACACAACCCCCAUUUUUGUCGAAAAUAGCCAUGAACGACCAUUUUCAAUAAUACGAAGGCUAACACCUACGGAUUUUUGACCAAGAAAUGGUCUCCACCAGAAAUCCAAGAAUGUGAUCUAUGGCAAGGAAACAUAUGUGGGGUGAGGUGUAUGAGCCUCUGGUCGAUGAUCAAUGGCCACACAACCCCAUUUUUGUCGAAAAUAGCCAUGAACGACCAUUUUCAAUAAUACGAAGGCUAACACUACGGAUUUUUAACCAAGAAAUGGUCUCCACCAGAAAUCCAAGAAUGUGAUCUAUGGCAAGGAAACAUAUGUGGGGUGAGGUGUAUGAGCCUCUGGUCGAUGAUCAAUGGCCACACAACCCCCAUUUUUGUCGAAAAUAGCCAUGAACGACCAUUUUCAAUAAUACGAAGGCUAACACCUACGGAUUUUUGACCAAGAAAUGGUCUCCACCAGAAAUCCAAGAAUGUGAUCUAUGGCAAGGAAACAUAUGUGGGGUGAGGUGUAUGAGCCUCUGGUCGAUGAUCAAUGGCCACACAACCCCCAUUUUUGUCGAAAAUAGCCAUGAACGACCAUUUUCAAUAAUACCGAAGGCUAACACCUACGGAUUUUUGACCAAGAAAUGGUCUCCACCAGAAAUCCAAGAAUGUGAUCUAUGGCAAGGAAACAUAUGUGGGGUGAGGUGUAUGAGCCUCUGGUCGAUGAUCAAUGGCCACACAACCCCCAUUUUUGUCGAAAAUAGCCAUGAACGACCAUUUUCAAUAAUACGAAGGCUAACACCUACGGAUUUUUGACCAAGAAAUGGUCUCCACCAGAAAUCCAAGAAUGUGAUCUAUGGCAAGGAAACAUAUGUGGGGUGAGGUGUAUGAGCCUCUGGUCGAUGAUCAAUGGCCACACAACCCCCAUUUUGCCGAAAAUAGCCAUGAAGACCAUUUUCAAUAAUACGAAGGCUAACACUACGGAUUUUUGACCAAGAAAUGGUCUCCACCAGAAAUCCAAGAAUGUGAUCUAUGGCAAGGAAACAUAUGUGGGGUGAGGUGUAUGAGCCUCUGGUCGAUGAUCAAUGGCCACACAACCCCCAUUUUUGUCGAAAAUAGCCAUGAACGACCAUUUUCAAUAAUACGAAGGCUAACACCUACGGAUUUUUGACCAAGAAAUGGUCUCCACCAGAAAUCCAAGAAUGUGAUCUAUGGCAAGGAAACAUAUGUGGGGUGAGGUGUAUGAGCCUCUGGUCGAUGAUCAAUGGCCACACAACCCCCAUUUUUGUCGAAAAUAGCCAUGAACGACCAUUUUCAAUAAUACGAAGGCUAACACCUACGGAUUUUUGACCAAGAAAUGGUCUCCACCAGAAAUCCAAGAAUGUGAUCUAUGGCAAGGAAACAUAUGUGGGGUGAGGUGUAUGAGCCUCUGGUCGAUGAUCAAUGGCCACACAACCCCAUUUUUGUCGAAAAUAGCCAUGAACGACCAUUUUCAAUAAUACGAAGGCUAACACCUACGGAUUUUUGACCAAGAAAUGGUCUCCACCAGAAAUCCAAGAAUGUGAUCUAUGGCAAGGAAACAUAUGUGGGGUGAGGUGUAUGAGCCUCUGGUCGAUGAUCAAUGGCCACACAACCCCAUUUUGUCGAAAAUAGCCAUGAAGACCAUUUUCAAUAAUACGAAGGCUAACACCUACGGAUUUUUGACCAAGAAAUGGUCUCCACCAGAAAUCCAAGAAUGUGAUCUAUGGCAAGGAAACAUAUGUGGGGUGAGGUGUAUGAGCCUCUGGUCGAUGAUCAAUGGCCACACAACCCCCAUUUUUGUCGAAAAUAGCCAUGAAUGACCAUUUUCAAUAAUACGAAGGCUAACACCUACGGAUUUUUGACCAAGAAAUGGUCUCCACCAGAAAUCCAAGAAUGUGAUCUAUGGCAAGGAAACAUAUGUGGGGUGAGGUGUAUGAGCCUCUGGUCGAUGAUCAAUGGCCACACAACCCCAUUUUUGUCGAAAAUAGCCAUGAACGACCAUUUUCAAUAAUACCGAAGGCUAACACCUACGGAUUUUUGACCAAGAAAUGGUCUCCACCAGAAAUCCAAGAAUGUGAUCUAUGGCAAGGAAACAUAUGUGGGGUGAGGUGUAUGAGCCUCUGGUCGAUGAUCAAUGGCCACACAACCCCCAUUUUUGUCGAAAAUAGCCAUGAACGACCAUUUUCAAUAAUACGAAGGCUAACACCUACGGAUUUUUGACCAAGAAAUGGUCUCCACCAGAAAUCCAAGAAUGUGAUCUAUGGCAAGGAAACAUAUGUGGGGUGAGGUGUAUGAGCCUCUGGUCGAUGAUCAAUGGCCACACAACCCCAUUUUGUCGAAAAUAGCCAUGAACGACCAUUUUCAAUAAUACGAAGGCUAACACCUACGGAUUUUUGACCAAGAAAUGGUCUCCACCAGAAAUCCAAGAAUGUGAUCUAUGGCAAGGAAACAUAUGUGGGGUGAGGUGUAUGAGCCUCUGGUCGAUGAUCAAUGGCCACACAACCCCCAUUUUUGUCGAAAAUAGCCAUGAAGACCAUUUUCAAUAAUACGAAGGCUAACACCUACGGAUUUUUGACCAAGAAAUGGUCUCCACCAGAAAUCCAAGAAUGUGAUCUAUGGCAAGGAAACAUAUGUGGGGUGAGGUGUAUGAGCCUCUGGUCGAUGAUCAAUGGCCACACAACCCCAUUUUUGUCGAAAAUAGCCAUGAACGACCAUUUUCAAUAAUACGAAGGCUAACACCUACGGAUUUUUGACCAAGAAAUGGUCUCCACCAGAAAUCCAAGAAUGUGAUCUAUGGCAAGGAAACAUAUGUGGGGUGAGGUGUAUGAGCCUCUGGUCGAUGAUCAAUGGCCACACAACCCCAUUUUUGUCGAAAAUAGCCAUGAACGACCAUUUUCAAUAAUACGAAGGCUAACACCUACGGAUUUUUGACCAAGAAAUGGUCUCCACCAGAAAUCCAAGAAUGUGAUCUAUGGCAAGGAAACAUAUGUGGGGUGAGGUGUAUGAGCCUCUGGUCGAUGAUCAAUGGCCACACAACCCCAUUUUUGUCGAAAAUAGCCAUGAAUGACCAUUUUCAAUAAUACGAAGGCUAACACUACGGAUUUUUGACCAAGAAAUGGUCUCCACCAGAAAUCCAAGAAUGUGAUCUAUGGCAAGGAAACAUAUGUGGGGUGAGGUGUAUGAGCCUCUGGUCGAUGAUCAAUGGCCACACAACCCCAUUUUUGUCGAAAAUAGCCAUGAAGACCAUUUUCAAUAAUACGAAGGCUAACACUACGGAUUUUGACCAAGAAAUGGUCUCCACCAGAAAUCCAAGAAUGUGAUCUAUGGCAAGGAAACAUAUGUGGGGUGAGGUGUAUGAGCUCUGGUCGAUGAUCAAUGGCCACACAACCCCAUUUUUGUCGAAAAUAGCCAUGAACGACCAUUUUCAAUAAUACGAAGGCUAACACCUACGGAUUUUUGACCAAGAAAUGGUCUCCACCAGAAAUCCAAGAAUGUGAUCUAUGGCAAGGAAACAUAUGUGGGUGAGGUGUAUGAGCCUCUGGUCGAUGAUCAAUGGCCACACAACCCCAUUUUGUCGAAAAUAGCCAUGAAGACCAUUUUCAAUAAUACGAAGGCUAACACUACGGAUUUUUGACCAAGAAAUGGUCUCCACCAGAAAUCCAAGAAUGUGAUCUAUGGCAAGGAAACAUAUGUGGGGUGAGGUGUAUGAGCCUCUGGUCGAUGAUCAAUGGCCACACAACCCCCAUUUUGCGAAAAUAGCCAUGAAGACCAUUUUCAAUAAUACGAAGGCUAACACUACGAUUUUUGACCAAGAAAUGGUCUCCACCAGAAAUCCAAGAAUGUGAUCUAUGGCAAGGAAACAUAUGUGGGGUGAGGUGUAUGAGCCUCUGGUCGAUGAUCAAUGGCCACACAACCCCAUUUUGUCGAAAAUAGCCAUGAAGACCAUUUUCAAUAAUACGAAGGCUAACAUCGCUACGGAUUUUAUGACCAAGAAAUGGUGUCCAUUGAUCAUCGACCAGAGCUCAUACACCUCACCCACAUAUGUUUCCUUGCAUAGAUCACAUUCUUGGAUUUCUGGUGGAGACCAUUUCUUGGUCAAAAUCGUAGUGUUAGCCUUCGUAUUAUUGAAAAUGGUCUUCAUGGCUAUUUUCGACAAAAAUGGGGUUGUGUGGCCAUUGAUCAUCGACCAGAGGCUCAUACACCUCACCCCACAUAUGUUUCCUUGCCAUAGAUCACAUUCUUGGAUUUCUGGUGGAGACCAUUUCUUGGUCAAAAAUCCGUAGGUGUUAGCCUUCGUAUUAUUGAAAAUGGUCAUUCAUGGCUAUUUUCGACAAAAAUGGGGGUUGUGUGGCCAUUGAUCAUCGACCAGAGGCUCAUACACCUCACCCCACAUAUGUUUCCUUGCCAUAGAUCACAUUCUUGGAUUUCUGGUGGAGACCAUUUCUUGGUAAAAAUCGUAGUGUUAGCCUUCGUAUUAUUGAAAAUGGUCUUCAUGGCUAUUUUCGACAAAAUGGGGUUGUGUGGCCAUUGAUCAUCGACAGAGCUCAUAACUCACCCACAUAUGUUUCUUGCAUAGAUCACAUUCUUGAUUUUGGUGGACCAUUUCUUGUAAAAUCGUAGUGUUAGCCUUGUAUUAUUGAAAUGGUCUUCAUGGCUAUUUUCGACAAAAUGGGGUUGUGUGGCCAUUGAUCAUCGACCAGAGCUCAUACACCUCACCCCACAUAUGUUUCCUUGCCAUAGAUCACAUUCUUGGAUUUCUGGUGGAGACCAUUUCUUGGUCAAAAAUCCGUAGGUGUUAGCCUUCGUAUUAUUGAAAAUGGUCGUUCAUGGCUAUUUUCGACAAAAAUGGGGGUUGUGUGGCCAUUGAUCAUCGACCAGAGGCUCAUACACCUCACCCCACAUAUGUUUCCUUGCCAUAGAUCACAUUCUUGGAUUUCUGGUGGAGACCAUUUCUUGGUCAAAAAUCCGUAGUGUUAGCCUUCGUAUUAUUGAAAAUGGUCUUCAUGGCUAUUUUCGACAAAAUGGGGGUUGUGUGGCCAUUGAUCAUCGACCAGAGGCUCAUACACCUCACCCCACAUAUGUUUCCUUGCCAUAGAUCACAUUCUUGGAUUUCUGGUGGAGACCAUUUCUUGGUCAAAAAUCCGUAGUGUUAGCCUUCGUAUUAUUGAAAAUGGUCGUUCAUGGCUAUUUUCGACAAAAUGGGGGUUGUGUGGCCAUUGAUCAUCGACCAGAGGCUCAUACACCUCACCCCACAUAUGUUUCCUUGCCAUAGAUCACAUUCUUGGAUUUCUGGUGGAGACCAUUUCUUGGUCAAAAUCCGUAGGUGUUAGCCUUCGUAUUAUUGAAAAUGGUCGUUCAUGGCUAUUUUCGCAAAAUGGGGUUGUGUGGCCAUUGAUCAUCGACCAGAGCUCAUACACCUCACCCCACAUAUGUUUCCUUGCCAUAGAUCACAUUCUUGGAUUUCUGGUGGAGACCAUUUCUUGGUCAAAAUCCGUAGUGUUAGCCUUCGUAUUAUUGAAAUGGUCUUCAUGGCUAUUUUCGCAAAAUGGGGGUUGUGUGGCCAUUGAUCAUCGACCAGAGCUCAUACACCUCACCCCACAUAUGUUUCCUUGCCAUAGAUCACAUUCUUGGAUUUCUGGUGGAGACCAUUUCUUGGUCAAAAAUCCGUAGGUGUUAGCCUUCGUAUUAUUGAAAAUGGUCGUUCAUGGCUAUUUUCGACAAAAAUGGGGGUUGUGUGGCCAUUGAUCAUCGACCAGAGGCUCAUACACCUCACCCCACAUAUGUUUCCUUGCCAUAGAUCACAUUCUUGGAUUUCUGGUGGAGACCAUUUCUUGGUCAAAAAUCCGUAGGUGUUAGCCUUCGUAUUAUUGAAAAUGGUCGUUCAUGGCUAUUUUCGACAAAAAUGGGGUUGUGUGGCCAUUGAUCAUCGACCAGAGGCUCAUACACCUCACCCCACAUAUGUUUCCUUGCCAUAGAUCACAUUCUUGGAUUUCUGGUGGAGACCAUUUCUUGGUCAAAAAUCCGUAGGUGUUAGCCUUCGGUAUUAUUGAAAAUGGUCUUCAUGGCUAUUUUCGCAAAAUGGGGGUUGUGUGGCCAUUGAUCAUCGACCAGAGGCUCAUACACCUCACCCCACAUAUGUUUCCUUGCCAUAGAUCACAUUCUUGGAUUUCUGGUGGAGACCAUUUCUUGGUCAAAAAUCCGUAGUGUUAGCCUUCGUAUUAUUGAAAAUGGUCUUCAUGGCUAUUUUCGACAAAAAUGGGGGUUGUGUGGCCAUUGAUCAUCGACCAGAGGCUCAUACACCUCACCCCACAUAUGUUUCCUUGCCAUAGAUCACAUUCUUGGAUUUCUGGUGGAGACCAUUUCUUGGUCAAAAAUCCGUAGGUGUUAGCCUUCGUAUUAUUGAAAAUGGUCGUUCAUGGCUAUUUUCGACAAAAAUGGGGUUGUGUGGCCAUUGAUCAUCGACCAGAGGCUCAUACACCUCACCCCACAUAUGUUUCCUUGCCAUAGAUCACAUUCUUGGAUUUCUGGUGGAGACCAUUUCUUGGUCAAAAAUCCGUAGGUGUUAGCCUUCGUAUUAUUGAAAAUGGUCGUUCAUGGCUAUUUUCGACAAAAUGGGGGUUGUGUGGCCAUUGAUCAUCGACCAGAGGCUCAUACACCUCACCCCACAUAUGUUUCCUUGCCAUAGAUCACAUUCUUGGAUUUCUGGUGGAGACCAUUUCUUGGUCAAAAAUCCGUAGGUGUUAGCCUUCGUAUUAUUGAAAAUGGUCGUUCAUGGCUAUUUUCGACAAAAAUGGGGGUUGUGUGGCCAUUGAUCAUCGACCAGAGGCUCAUACACCUCACCCCACAUAUGUUUCCUUGCCAUAGAUCACAUUCUUGGAUUUCUGGUGGAGACCAUUUCUUGGUCAAAAAUCCGUAGGUGUUAGCCUUCGUAUUAUUGAAAAUGGUCGUUCAUGGCUAUUUUCGACAAAAAUGGGGGUUGUGUGGCCAUUGAUCAUCGACCAGAGGCUCAUACACCUCACCCCACAUAUGUUUCCUUGCCAUAGAUCACAUUCUUGGAUUUCUGGUGGAGACCAUUUCUUGGUCAAAAAUCCGUAGUGUUAGCCUUCGUAUUAUUGAAAAUGGUCUUCAUGGCUAUUUUCGACAAAAAUGGGGGUUGUGUGGCCAUUGAUCAUCGACCAGAGGCUCAUACACCUCACCCCACAUAUGUUUCCUUGCCAUAGAUCACAUUCUUGGAUUUCUGGUGGAGACCAUUUCUUGGUCAAAAAUCCGUAGGUGUUAGCCUUCGUAUUAUUGAAAAUGGUCGUUCAUGGCUAUUUUCGACAAAAAUGGGGGUUGUGUGGCCAUUGAUCAUCGACCAGAGGCUCAUACACCUCACCCCACAUAUGUUUCCUUGCCAUAGAUCACAUUCUUGGAUUUCUGGUGGAGACCAUUUCUUGGUCAAAAAUCCGUAGGUGUUAGCCUUCGUAUUAUUGAAAAUGGUCGUUCAUGGCUAUUUUCGACAAAAAUGGGGGUUGUGUGGCCAUUGAUCAUCGACCAGAGGCUCAUACACCUCACCCCACAUAUGUUUCCUUGCCAUAGAUCACAUUCUUGGAUUUCUGGUGGAGACCAUUUCUUGGUCAAAAAUCCGUAGGUGUUAGCCUUCGUAUUAUUGAAAAUGGUCGUUCAUGGCUAUUUUCGACAAAAAUGGGGGUUGUGUGGCCAUUGAUCAUCGACCAGAGGCUCAUACACCUCACCCCACAUAUGUUUCCUUGCCAUAGAUCACAUUCUUGGAUUUCUGGUGGAGACCAUUUCUUGGUCAAAAAUCCGUAGGUGUUAGCCUUCGGUAUUAUUGAAAAUGGUCUUCAUGGCUAUUUUCGACAAAAAUGGGGGUUGUGUGGCCAUUGAUCAUCGACCAGAGGCUCAUACACCUCACCCCACAUAUGUUUCCUUGCCAUAGAUCACAUUCUUGGAUUUCUGGUGGAGACCAUUUCUUGGUCAAAAAUCCGUAGGUGUUAGCCUUCGUAUUAUUGAAAAUGGUCGUUCAUGGCUAUUUUCGACAAAAAUGGGGGUUGUGUGGCCAUUGAUCAUCGACCAGAGGCUCAUACACCUCACCCCACAUAUGUUUCCUUGCCAUAGAUCACAUUCUUGGAUUUCUGGUGGAGACCAUUUCUUGGUCAAAAAUCCGUAGGUGUUAGCCUUCGUAUUAUUGAAAAUGGUCGUUCAUGGCUAUUUUCGACAAAAAUGGGGGUUGUGUGGCCAUUGAUCAUCGACCAGAGGCUCAUACACCUCACCCCACAUAUGUUUCCUUGCCAUAGAUCACAUUCUUGGAUUUCUGGUGGAGACCAUUUCUUGGUCAAAAAUCCGUAGGUGUUAGCCUUCGUAUUAUUGAAAAUGGUCGUUCAUGGCUAUUUUCGACAAAAAUGGGGUUGUGUGGCCAUUGAUCAUCGACCAGAGGCUCAUACACCUCACCCCACAUAUGUUUCCUUGCCAUAGAUCACAUUCUUGGAUUUCUGGUGGAGACCAUUUCUUGGUCAAAAAUCCGUAGGUGUUAGCCUUCGGUAUUAUUGAAAAUGGUCGUUCAUGGCUAUUUUCGACAAAAAUGGGGGUUGUGUGGCCAUUGAUCAUCGACCAGAGGCUCAUACACCUCACCCCACAUAUGUUUCCUUGCCAUAGAUCACAUUCUUGGAUUUCUGGUGGAGACCAUUUCUUGGUCAAAAAUCCGUAGGUGUUAGCCUUCGGUAUUAUUGAAAAUGGUCGUUCAUGGCUAUUUUCGACAAAAAUGGGGGUUGUGUGGCCAUUGAUCAUCGACCAGAGGCUCAUACACCUCACCCCACAUAUGUUUCCUUGCCAUAGAUCACAUUCUUGGAUUUCUGGUGGAGACCAUUUCUUGGUCAAAAAUCCGUAGUGUUAGCCUUCGUAUUAUUGAAAAUGGUCGUUCAUGGCUAUUUUCGACAAAAAUGGGGGUUGUGUGGCCAUUGAUCAUCGACCAGAGGCUCAUACACCUCACCCCACAUAUGUUUCCUUGCCAUAGAUCACAUUCUUGGAUUUCUGGUGGAGACCAUUUCUUGGUCAAAAAUCCGUAGGUGUUAGCCUUCGGUAUUAUUGAAAAUGGUCGUUCAUGGCUAUUUUCGACAAAAAUGGGGGUUGUGUGGCCAUUGAUCAUCGACCAGAGGCUCAUACACCUCACCCCACAUAUGUUUCCUUGCCAUAGAUCACAUUCUUGGAUUUCUGGUGGAGACCAUUUCUUGGUCAAAAAUCCGUAGGUGUUAGCCUUCGUAUUAUUGAAAAUGGUCGUUCAUGGCUAUUUUCGACAAAAAUGGGGUUGUGUGGCCAUUGAUCAUCGACCAGAGGCUCAUACACCUCACCCCACAUAUGUUUCCUUGCCAUAGAUCACAUUCUUGGAUUUCUGGUGGAGACCAUUUCUUGGUCAAAAAUCCGUAGGUGUUAGCCUUCGGUAUUAUUGAAAAUGGUCAUUCAUGGCUAUUUUCGACAAAAUGGGGGUUGUGUGGCCAUUGAUCAUCGACCAGAGGCUCAUACACCUCACCCCACAUAUGUUUCCUUGCCAUAGAUCACAUUCUUGGAUUUCUGGUGGAGACCAUUUCUUGGUCAAAAAUCCGUAGGUGUUAGCCUUCGUAUUAUUGAAAAUGGUCGUUCAUGGCUAUUUUCGACAAAAAUGGGGGUUGUGUGGCCAUUGAUCAUCGACCAGAGGCUCAUACACCUCACCCCACAUAUGUUUCCUUGCCAUAGAUCACAUUCUUGGAUUUCUGGUGGAGACCAUUUCUUGGUCAAAAAUCCGUAGGUGUUAGCCUUCGGUAUUAUUGAAAAUGGUCGUUCAUGGCUAUUUUCGACAAAAAUGGGGGUUGUGUGGCCAUUGAUCAUCGACCAGAGGCUCAUACACCUCACCCCACAUAUGUUUCCUUGCCAUAGAUCACAUUCUUGGAUUUCUGGUGGAGACCAUUUCUUGGUCUAAAAUCCGUAGGUGUUAGCCUCUAGUAUUAUUGAAAAUGGUCGCUCAUGGCUAUUUUCAUGGUCGCUCAUGGCUAUUUUCAUAAAAAUGGGGGUUGUGUGGCCAUUUAUCAUCGACUAGAGGCUCAUAAACCUCACCCCACAUAUGUUUCCUUGCCAUAGAUUACAUUCUUGGAUUUCUGGUGGAAACCAUUUCUUGGUUAAAAACUCGUACGUGUUAGCCUUCGGUAUUAUUGAAAAUGGUCAUUCAUGGCUAUUUUCGGCAAAAUGGGGGUUGUGUGGCCAUUGAUCGUCGACCAGAGGCUCAUACACCUCACCCCACAUAUGUUUCCUUGCCAUAGAUCACAUUCUUGGAUUUCUGGUGGAGACCAUUUCUUGGUCAAAAAUCCGUAGGUGUUAGCCUUCGAUAUUAUUGAAAAUGGUCGUUCAUGGCUAUUUUCGACAAAAAUGGGGGUUGUGUGGCCAUUGAUCAUCGACCAGAGGCUCAUACACCUCACCCCACAUAUGUUUCCUUGCCAUAGAUCACAUUCUUGGAUUUCUGGUGGAGACCAUUUCUUGGUCAAAAAUCCGUAGGUGUUAGCCUUCGGUAUUAUUGAAAUGGUCAUUCAUGGCUAUUUUCGACAAAAAUGGGGGUUGUGUGGCCAUUGAUCAUCGACCAGAGGCUCAUACACCUCACCCCACAUAUGUUUCCUUGCCAUAGAUCACAUUCUUGGAUUUCUGGUGGAGACCAUUUCUUGGUCAAAAAUCCGUAGGUGUUAGCCUCUAGUAUUAUUGAAAAUGGUCGCUCAUGGCUAUUUUCAUAAAAAAUGGGGUUGUGUGGCCAUUGAUCAUCGACCAAGCCAUGAACGACCAUUUUCAAUAAUACCGAAGGCUAACACUACGGAUUUUUGACCAAGAAAUGGUCUCCACCAGAAAUCCAAGAAUGUGAUCUAUGGCAAGGAAACAUAUGUGGGGUGAGGUUAUGAGCCUCUAGUCGAUGAUAAAUGGCCACACAACCCCCAUUUUUGUCAUGAAAAUAGCCAUGAGCGACCAUUUUCAAUAAUACUAGAGGCUAACACCUACGGAUUUUUGACCAAGAAAUGGUCUCCACCAGAAAUCCAAGAAUGUGAUCUAUGGCAAGGAAACAUAUGUGGGGUGAGGUGUAUGAGCUCUGGUCGAUGAUCAAUGGCCACACAACCCCCAUUUUUGUCGAAAAUAGCCAUGAACGACCAUUUUCAAUAAUACCGAAGGCUAACACCUACGAUUUUUGACCAAGAAAUGGUCUCCACCAGAAAUCCAAGAAUGUGAUCUAUGGCAAGGAAACAUAUGUGGGGUGAGGUGUAUGAGCCUCUGGUCGAUGAUCAAUGGCCACACAACCCCCAUUUUUGUCGAAAAUAGCCAUGAACGACCAUUUUCAAUAAUACGAAGGCUAACACCUACGGAUUUUUGCCCAAGAAAUGGUCUCCACCAGAAAUCCAAGAAUGUGAUCUAUGGCAAGGAAACAUAUGUGGGGUGAGGUGUAUGAGCCUCUGGUCGACGAUCAAUGGCCACACAACCCCCAUUUUGCCGAAAAUAGCCAUGAACGACCAUUUUCAAUAAUAC
RNAcentral lists this long non-coding RNA (32872 nucleotides) under Zea mays. RNAcentral's name for it is "long non-coding RNA (ZMAY_LNC005814)". Lineage: Eukaryota; Viridiplantae; Streptophyta; Magnoliopsida; Poales; Poaceae. The record is from RNAcentral.